UCAAGAAGACAAAAAAGACCUCCAUCACCUCCAGGGGACAACUUAUCAGCAUAGAGGAAGAAAAGCUAAACAUGCUUCGGAGCUGUGAGCGAAGACGACUCUGAACUGUUGACGCUUGUUCCAUCUGUGGACAACAUGGACAUUUCCUGAGGGACGAUCUGGACAACCCAAAGAUCCAACGCCAAAACCAGUUGGACUGACAGGAACCCAGAGGAGAGAGACGGGGGAGGAUUUCACUGCAGCAACGCCGAGACCGAGUGGAGGAGAGGGGCGAAAAGGAAGGAACAACCUGAAUCCACAUCAACCACUGUGAAGGACGACCUGUCUCUAAUGUCCAUCUAAAUCAUGACUGUAAAUCUGAAACAGCAACAGAGUGAGCAGCAAAACUUCACUCUACCAAGAAUCAAGUACUUCAGCUUUUGACACCAAAGAGGUCAAUGUCCAGAGGAACAGCAAGUUUAAAUGUUUCUGAAAGACUCUCCACUCAAAGAACUAUUGCUGGUCCACUGGCGAGUGACGGAAACGGAGAGUGAAGAUUUACACUGUUCUGUUAUCCUUAAAUAUGCAUUUAAAAGAGAAAAUCAA
This is a long non-coding RNA of Poecilia latipinna (sailfin molly), 585 nucleotides long. RefSeq lists it as uncharacterized. The transcript is spliced from 2 exons. The record is from RefSeq and is a predicted model, not a curated record. NCBI's taxonomy places the organism in Eukaryota, Metazoa, Chordata, Actinopteri, Cyprinodontiformes, Poeciliidae.